Molecule: transfer RNA, 67 nt
Filed under: Pinus armandii
Lineage: Eukaryota; Viridiplantae; Streptophyta; Pinopsida; Pinales; Pinaceae
Description: tRNA-Ile
Source: RNAcentral
UAAGCAAUAGUUGAAUUGGUUGAAACGUACCGCUCAUAACGGUGAUAUUGUAGGUUGGUUGGGCCUA